This is a long non-coding RNA of Thalassophryne amazonica, 660 nucleotides long. RefSeq lists it as uncharacterized. The transcript is spliced from 3 exons. NCBI's taxonomy places the organism in Eukaryota, Metazoa, Chordata, Actinopteri, Batrachoidiformes, Batrachoididae. The record is from RefSeq and is a predicted model, not a curated record.
UUAGAAACAUGCUGAAGAAACUGAAUUUAUUCAGUACUAUACAAAAAUGGAUUUAAUUUAUGCGGACCAUGUGGAAUUAAUUAAUACAGUCUGUGUGCCCAGUCUGGAUUGUGUGAUAUUGUGCCUUCAUGUCUGCAGAAUUUGGAAGCUGAAACAUAUCAGAUCUGUUUAAACUUUCAAUACUAAAAUAAAAUAAAAUAAUUUCAUAGCUGAUGAACCAUUUGCAUUCAGAACUAUUGGCUGAUUAAACCAUUCACGCAUAGAACCAGAAAUCGUUGACAGCUGCAGGUAUUCUCGUCUGCACUGCACGGUGGAGAACAUAUUUGGAAUAGUCUCAAAGUGAAUUAUUUAGAAUAUAUGUCGUAAUGGACUGAUGAACCGCAGAACACAGCAGGACAUCCUGCAGCUGGAACAGAUCGGAUCCAUGUAACUUUCAACACUACUAUUUCGGAAUGUGUGGGUGUCAGACUAAGUUUAAUACUUUCCAUAGACAAUUUAAUGUAAAUUAAUUUUACUGGCUCGAUAUCCAUAUCAGAACAGUAUUUUAACACUGGACAUUGAAAAUGCACAUGAAACAUUAACAACCAGGCACUUCGUCAAUAUUUUGUCUUGUUAGGAGGUGCUAUGUUGCAGAGCAUGCGGAGAAAACCCACACAGCCA